Molecule: long non-coding RNA, 232 nt
Filed under: Musa acuminata (dwarf banana)
Lineage: Eukaryota; Viridiplantae; Streptophyta; Magnoliopsida; Zingiberales; Musaceae
Description: long non-coding RNA (MACU_LNC010099)
Source: RNAcentral
UGGGAAUUUGAUCUUCAAGUCGUCAUAGUUCUCCCAAGUGGCAUCUUCUAUUGGUAGGUUCGCCCACUGUAUUAGUACUUCAUUAGUGGGUCGUCGUCGUCGAGUCACGAUCCGUCGAUCAAUAAUGGCACUUGGCUGGGUCUGGAGUUCUCUUUGGGUAGUCAUAUUUGGUGGGUGGCUUUGGGCUAUCUCCAAGCACUUGUUUAAAACUUCCGGCUGGCUGUUGGUUUGU